CACAAUUGUUUUAUCUGUACUUUUUUGGGUAAAAUGUUAAAUUAUUAUACCAAAGUUUUCAAUUUUUUACAGAAAUAAAAAUCAAAGAUUUUAACUGUUUCACAAUUGUUUUAUCUGUACUUUUUUUGGUAAAAUGUUAAAUUAUUAUACCAAAGUUUUCAAUUUUUUAGAGAAAUAAAAAGCAAACUAGUAGCAGAAAUACGAGAAUAAACUAAACAGAAGGGAUCUAAGCAACGAAAUAACAAAAUGAAGCAAAGGAGAAGCUGACUUAGAACGAUACUUUAACUUUAGCGCGAAGGAUCAAGAAGCGAGUCGAUAACAGAGAGAGCUUCCAGUCGCCGCGAGCUAACAGAGAGAAAGGCACCCCAAACCUUGAAACACACGGCUCCUACAUCUUCUGGAGAACUCAAACGCCACCAACUGCCCAAAGAAUCACAAACCGAACUCGCUAGCUAAUCCAAGAGACAACUAUCCGGCAGCACGAAGAGGAUCUUGUAACCGACGAUGUCGUCGUUCGAAGAAGGGUGCUGAAGAUUGCUGCCUCCAACUCACCAACCCGUGACCGUGUACACCCGUUGAACCCAAGACUCAUAUAGAGCAGUGGGACUGGCCCGAAACACCUCUUCCUGAGAGACACCACCAAGCACACUAGAAAGCCGGAGUCAAAUUAAAGCCUAUCCAUUGCCUUCUAACCCAAACAACUCCACAAGCUAACCCGAGACCGAGAACCCGAGAGGGUAGAGAGCCGACGACCGCCAUCGCCAAGCCCCCACAACUUUAUUAGGUGAGGUGAGAGAAACCCGAGGCCACACCACCGGACCUGCACACAAACGAAGACAAGAACAACCGCAACAACCCAGAUCCGAAGGUCGGACAGAGCAAACAAAAGUUCUGACUAACACGCGGCCACCAGAGACACCGGAGAACAAGCUUACCGGCCAUAGCUCCGGACUAGCUCUCACGCGCCGUUACCAAAAGGACACCCAAUAACUCGAGAGUGAACAGAAACAAGAAUCCCGCCACAAAGCUCCUAGUCAAAGCCUACCACGAACCAAUCCCGGACGAAAUCCGAGAGAACCGACGUCACACGCGCCACUACUCACCCGAGAGCACACACCAAGCAACACAAAAUCACCGGAACUCCAAGGACGAAACCAAAGGUCUAAGCCAUAGGAAAGACAGACGCUGUCCUCACUCGCAUGGACUCGCCGCCGGAGACCCUAGAUCUGAAACCCAGAUUCCGGAUCUGAGCAAAGGUGGAGCUCCCCCUGCCGCAAAGAGAAGAGAAUACGAAGGAAACAAGGACAUAUGAAACACACGAGAGGAAAGAGGGGGAGAAAAGAGGAGAUCCAGCGACCGCGAACGGCAGAGCGGCCACCGGAAAAGCAAGAGAGCUUUGUUACGUGAAGGUUGGAGAAGAGAGAGGGAGGAGAGAGGGGGAGAGAGGGGAAUAGUAGUGUGAGAAAAAUGUUUUCUUCUUGUAUUUUUAUCUCAACUUUACUCUCUUUAUAUGGAAAUUCCUAAAUUAAGAUCAACCUAAGUUUAUAAUAACUUAGAAAAAGUAUAACAAGGAAAGAUAUGGCCAAUUUCAAAAAGAUGAAAAUGAAAGCUAAGAAAGAUACGUAAAUAUAUGUUUUGAUGGGGAGAAAAACUAGGAUAUCCCACUUCCAUUUGUCCAUAUUUAGAUAACAAUUUUUAUUUAUGGAUAAACAUUGACCGCGUUCGUUAAAGACCACACCUAGGCCUGGGCAUUUCGGGUAUCGGUUCGGUUCGGUUCGGGUAUUUCGGGUUUCGGAUAGUUCGGAUAGGGGCUAGAGGAUCCAUUUAGUACUCGACCUAUUUUCGGUUCGGUUCGGUUCGGAUAGUUUCGGGUUCGGUUCGG
This 1882-nucleotide long non-coding RNA is filed under the name Brassica napus (rape). Its description in RNAcentral is "long non-coding RNA (BNAP_LNC022970)". The record is from RNAcentral. Lineage: Eukaryota; Viridiplantae; Streptophyta; Magnoliopsida; Brassicales; Brassicaceae.